UUCAGAUUCCUUUUUAAUGGUAAUCAAGUAUAAAUAUACUAGGAAGAGAAAAAAUGAGCUCUUAUUACUUAGAAGUGAUGGUAAAAUGAGGGAAAAAUGGGUCAAACCUUGCACCUAGCUUUCAAUUGAAAGGAUCCUUCCUCUGUAUCUUUUCCCUUUCCUAGAUCAUGUCACAACAGGCAUAUGUAAGAUUUAGAAUUCCAAAUAAGUUUUUGAUGAUACAGAUGUGAAAAUAUGAAGUGGCGAGAACAGAAAGGAAUAGAAAGUAGCUAAAGAUUUAGAAAAGGAAGACAGUGUAUAAUGCUGAAAGAUUAACUCUCAGACUCAAGAUUCCUUUAUGUGUUUGGACUUCUCUUUGGCAAAAACGAUUUACAUUUCCCAGAAUUCCUGGUCAGUAUGGAUUUCAACUAGUGGCCUGAAUGUAACCAAAGACGAGGAAUAUACCUGGGAAAGUACAACCCUUUGCUCUUUUUCCAGAAGGUACAGUUUCUCCUGUAAAUUUAAGUCACAGUUUAUGGGAAAAGAGGUCUUGACAAAAAAACAAACAAACAAACAAACAAACAAACAAAACCCAAAAAAAAAACCACCAAAAAACCAACCAAGAUAUAAACACCAACACCAGACAAAAACAGAAAAAAGUCUGUUAACCUCAUUUGUCUGGUAUUUUCAAAGACACAGCCUUGUCUUUCUGCUAUUACAAAAAUCACAUGAAAAAACCCAAUCUUUUAAGGA
RNAcentral lists this long non-coding RNA (732 nucleotides) under Taeniopygia guttata (zebra finch). Its description in RNAcentral is "lncRNA (ENSTGUG00000026466.1)". The record is from RNAcentral. Lineage: Eukaryota; Metazoa; Chordata; Aves; Passeriformes; Estrildidae.